ACUCCUACGGGGAGGCAGCAGUGGGGAAUAAUUGCGACAAUGGGCGCAAGCCUGAUGCAGCCAUGCCGCGUGUAUGAAGAAGGCCCUUCGGGUUGUAAAGUACUUUCAGCAGUGAGGAAGGUGGGUAUGUUAAUAGCAUAUUCAUUUGACGUUAGCUGCAGAAGAAGCACCGGCUAACUCCGUGCCAGCAGCCGCGGUAAUACGGAGGGUGCGAGCGUUAAUCGGAAUUACUGGGCGUAAAGCGCAUGCAGGUGGUUUGUUAAGUCAGAUGUGAAAGCCCGGGGCUCAACCUCGGAAUUGCAUUUGAAACUGGCAAACUAGAGUACUGUAGAGGGGGGGUAGAAUUUCAGGUGUAGCGGUGAAAUGCGUAGAGAUCUGAAGGAAUACCGGUGGCGAAGGCGGCCCCCUGGACAGAUACUGACACUCAGAUNCGAAAGCGU
RNAcentral lists this ribosomal RNA (440 nucleotides) under uncultured bacterium. RNAcentral's name for it is "bacterial SSU rRNA". It matches the Rfam family "Bacterial small subunit ribosomal RNA", at positions 335 to 762 of the family's 1533-position model. The record is from RNAcentral.